GGCGAACGGGUGAGUAACACGUGAGUAACCUGCCCCCUUCUUUGGGAUAACUGUCGGAAACGAUGGCUAAUACCGGAUACACACCUGAGAUCGCAUGGUUUUUGGUGGAAAGUUUUUCGGUGGGGGAUGGGCUCGCGGCCUAUCAGCUUGUUGGUGGGGUGAUGGCCUACCAAGGCUUUGACGGGUAGCCGGCCUGAGAGGGCGACCGGCCACACUGGGACUGAGACACGGCCCAGACUCCUACGGGAGGCAGCAGUGGGGAAUAUUGCACAAUGGGCGCAAGCCUGAUGCAGCGACGCCGCGUGAGGGAUGACGGCCUUCGGGUUGUAAACCUCUUUCAGCACCGACGAAGCGAGAGUGACGGUAGGUGCAGAAGAAGCGCCGGCCAACUACGUGCCAGCAGCCGCGGUAAGACGUAGGGCGCGAGCGUUGUCCGGAUUUAUUGGGCGUAAAGAGCUCGUAGGCGGCUCGUUGCGUCAAUCGUGAAAACUCAGGGCUUAACUCUGAGCUUGCGGUUGAUACGGGCGGGCUAGAGUUCGGUAGGGGAGACUGGAAUUCCUGGUGUAGCGGUGAAAUGCGCAGAUAUCAGGAGGAACACCGGUGGCGAAGGCGGGUCUCUGGGCCGAUACUGACGCUGAGGAGCGAAAGCGUGGGGAGCGAACAGGAUUAGAUACCCUGGUAGUCC
RNAcentral lists this ribosomal RNA (685 nucleotides) under uncultured bacterium. RNAcentral describes it as "bacterial SSU rRNA". It matches the Rfam family "Bacterial small subunit ribosomal RNA", at positions 97 to 796 of the family's 1533-position model. The record is from RNAcentral.